CUCCAUUUUACUCCUCUUUCAAAAUUUAAUAAAACCCUAAAACGUAACAACCCUGAAAACCUAGUUACCCUUCUUACUUCCUUCUCUCGCCACAGCUUCUCACCCUUUCAUCUUCAUCUCUGCAAUCCUCACUGUAGGAGAAAAACCUGUCCGUGAAUCCACUUUUGGAGCGAGCAUUGUGCACGCCUACCCUUGCCUGCAUCUGUGAGUUGAUUUUUGGUUGCUGCUGAGAGUUUUAGAGUUUUAGGGGAGGAUUUGGUGAAGUAUGGAACACUUAUUCAUUCAAUCCUUCUGUUUUUAUUUUUUUGUUUUCUUUUUAUGUUAAGUCCACUGCUAUAUUCUUCAGCAAUUGGGUUUGAAGAGCCGAGGAACAGGGUUGCAAUUUUCAUCCCGGUUUAGUGCUGAAAGAGGGCUUUGUCUCUACAUAAGAAAGCAGUAUGCCGCACAGAACACGACCCAUGACAGCACUCUUGCUGUUCACUGCACUAAAUACAGUUUUGUGUGCAACCAUUACUCCAGUCUAUGAUUUUGUUUGCUUUCUUCCGUACUGGGAAAGAAGGAGGGAAAGGCGUCGCCAGCAACGAGAAGCUACUAUAGCUAACAGUACAAAUUAGCCAUGACAGCAUUUAAUUGGAGAACCUUUCCGUAGUAAGAUUUUUAUUGUCCUUUCUUG
Molecule: long non-coding RNA, 673 nt
Organism: Vigna unguiculata (cowpea)
Lineage: Eukaryota; Viridiplantae; Streptophyta; Magnoliopsida; Fabales; Fabaceae
Source: RefSeq, a predicted model, not a curated record